GGCGGUUUGGCGGAGUGGUUAACGCGAUUGACUCGGUAUGUCAUAUCAUAAUCAUUGUCCUACUCAUGAAACUCUUACUAAUCCUCUUCCUCAGAAAUCAAUUCCAUUCGUGGGCGCAUGUUCGAAUCAUGCAGCCGUCG
Molecule: transfer RNA, 140 nt
Organism: Penicillium solitum
Lineage: Eukaryota; Fungi; Ascomycota; Eurotiomycetes; Eurotiales; Aspergillaceae
Rfam family: tRNA
About the family: Transfer RNA (tRNA) molecules are approximately 80 nucleotides in length. Their secondary structure includes four short double-helical elements and three loops (D, anti-codon, and T loops).
Source: Rfam